GAGCACAUGGUGGAUGCCUUGACUCGUAAUGCCGAUGAAGGACGUAUGAGCCUGCGAUAAGUCUCGGGGAGCUGGCAACAGAGCUUUGAUCCGGGAAUCUCCGAAUGGGGUAACCCACGCCCUUUGGGGCGUACUCUCCGGUGCAAGUCCGGAGAGGUGGUAAGCGCGCGAACUGAAACAUCUCAGUAGCGCGAGGAAAAGAAAUCAGACACGCCGCGCAAGCGGCGAGAGAGAUUCCGUUAGUAGUGGCGAGCGAAAGCGGAAAUAGCCCAAACCGCAUCUUUUUGAUGGCGGGGUUGUAGGGCCGCACGGUGAUAUCACGAGCAGUAAAAAAUCUUUUGCAUAGUUGAACGCGCCUGGAACGGACGGCCAGAGACGGUGAGAGCCCGGUAAACGAAAUGCAUUAGACUGCUUGGUGCGGUACCUGAGUACCAUCGGACACGAGAAACCCGGUGGGAAGCUAGGACGAUCACGUUCUAAGGCUAAAUACAUUACGAGAUCGAUAGUGAACAAGUACCGUGAGGGAAAGGUGAAAAGCACCCCGGCGAGGGGAGUGAAAUAGUACUGAAACCAUGUUUGCUUCCGAGAGGUCGGAGCUGGCCGCGAGGCUGGUGACGGCGUGCCUUUUGUAGAAUGCGCCAACGAGUUAGCUGGCACGGGCAAGGCUAAGGGGUUUAUCCUGGAGCCGGAGCGAAAGCGAGUCCGAAUAGGGCGUUGCUCAGCAAUGAGCGUAGUCCGUGUCACUAGACCCGAAACCCGGUGAGCUUGCCAUGAGCAGGAUGAACGCUCCGUAACAGGAGCGGGAGGUCCGAACUCGGCAGUGUUGCAAAGCUGCGGGAUGACUUGUGGUAAGAGGUAAAAUGCCAAUCGAACCGGGAGAUAGCUGGUUCUCCUCGAAAUAUAUUUAGGUAUAGCCGGUGAUGUUCCUUGAGAGAGGUAGAGAUACUGAAUGGAACGUGGGGGGUAACUCUCGCUUCCAACCAAACUCCGAAUUCUUUUAAGUUAAGUCAUCGAGUCAGACUGUGGGGGCUAAGCUUCAUAGUCGAAAGGGAAAGAACCCAGAUCGCCGUCUAAGGUCCCAGAAUUACUGCUAAGUGGAAAAGGAUGUGUAACUUCCAAGACAGCCAGGCUGUUGGCUUAGAAGCAGCCACCAGUUAAAGAGUGCGUAACAGCUCACUGGUCUAAGAGGCUUCGGCCUCCUUGAGAAGUCAUGCGCCGAAAAUUUAACGGGGCUAAGCAGUAUACCGAAGACGCGGGGCAGACGAUAAAUUUAUUUAUUGUUUGUCGGUAGAGGAGCGUUCACACCGCAGUGAAGCGAAGGUGGAAACCGACGUGGAGCGGGGUGAAGUGAGAAUGUUGGCAUGAGUAACGAAUUUGGCAGGUGAAAAACCUGCCCACCGCAUACCCAAGGUUUCCAGGGCAACGGUAAUCGUCCCUGGGUUAGUCGGUCCUAAGGCGUACCCGAAAGGGGAAGUCGAUGGCCAUCCGGUUAAUAUUCCGGAACUUGCGUGCGUAUGCUUGGUCUGACGAAUCUUUAAGCUUUCCGUGUGCUAUGGACAUGUUCACGGCGGGGGAGAAGGUUCCUAGAAAAGGAUCAAUGAUUAGCGCAUGCAAUCCGUACCGCAAACCGACGCAGGUGGGUGAGUCGAGUAGACUCAGGUGAUCGGAAGAAUCCUCGUUAAGGAACUCGGCAAAACAGCGUCCGUAACUUAGGGAUAAGGACCGGCCAUCGCAAGGUGGCCCACAGCAAAAGAGCUCAAGCGACUGUUUAGCAAAAACUUAGCUCCCUGCCAACUCGCAAGAGGAUGUAUAGGGAGUGAUGCCUGCCCAAUGCCCGUAGGUUAAGAGGAGAUUUGAGAUCAUAUCAAGAGUUGAAUUUAAGCCCGGGUGAAUGGCGGCCGUAACUAUUGCGAAAUCCGCUCUAAGCGGAGUGAGCAAAAAGCUCCGCUUAUUAACUGUAGUAGUUAUAAAAUCUGGCCAAAUGCUGGAAACUCUGAGUAUCUUACACUACUAAAUUCAUAAUUUAUGAAUACUAGUGACAAUGUGAUAAGUGCAGACAAUCAGCAGGAAAGGCUGGCCGAAGCGUGGUAUAUUGUUGGUUUUACUGAUGGUG
RNAcentral lists this ribosomal RNA (2113 nucleotides) under Patescibacteria group bacterium. Its description in RNAcentral is "23S ribosomal RNA". It matches the Rfam family "Bacterial large subunit ribosomal RNA", at positions 15 to 1950 of the family's 2925-position model. The record is from RNAcentral.